This 85-nucleotide small nucleolar RNA is filed under the name Anabas testudineus (climbing perch). RNAcentral describes it as "Small nucleolar RNA SNORD100 (ENSATEG00000004885.2)". It matches the Rfam family "Small nucleolar RNA SNORD100". Rfam says of the family: The members of this family belong to the C/D class of snoRNAs which contain the C (UGAUGA) and D (CUGA) box motifs. Most of the members of the box C/D family function in directing site-specific 2'-O-methylation of substrate RNAs. HBII-429 (SNORD100) is predicted to guide the 2'O-ribose methylation of 18S rRNA G436. Lineage: Eukaryota; Metazoa; Chordata; Actinopteri; Anabantiformes; Anabantidae. The record is from Rfam by way of RNAcentral.
UGUAUCACUGAUGAUAAUUUGGCUCCCUCUACUGAAUACUGUGAGGAGAUUGCCACUGUUACCCAUUUUUUUUGUCUGAGAUACA